GACGAAACGCUGGCGGCGUGCCUAAUACAUGCAAGUCGAGCGAGCUUGCCUAGAUGAAUUUGGUGCUUGCACCAAAUGAAACUAGAUACAAGCGAGCGGCGGACGGGUGAGUAACACGUGGGUAACCUGCCCAAGAGACUGGGAUAACACCUGGAAACAGAUGCUAAUACCGGAUAACAACACUAGACGCAUGUCUAGAGUUUAAAAGAUGGUUCUGCUAUCACUCUUGGAUGGACCUGCGGUGUAUUAGCUAGUUGGUAAGGUAACGGCUUACCAAGGCAAUGAUGCAUAGCCGAGUUGAGAGACUGAUCGGCCACAUUGGGACUGAGACACGGCCCAAACUCCUACGGGAGGCAGCAGUAGGGAAUCUUCCACAAUGGACGCAAGUCUGAUGGAGCAACGCCGCGUGAGUGAAGAAGGGUUUCGGCUCGUAAAGCUCUGUUGGUAGUGAAGAAAGAUAGAGGUAGUAACUGGCCUUUAUUUGACGGUAAUUACUUAGAAAGUCACGGCUAACUACGUGCCAGCAGCCGCGGUAAUACGUAGGUGGCAAGCGUUGUCCGGAUUUAUUGGGCGUAAAGCGAGUGCAGGCGGUUCAAUAAGUCUGAUGUGAAAGCCUUCGGCUCAACCGGAGAAUUGCAUCAGAAACUGUUGAACUUGAGUGCAGAAGAGGAGAGUGGAACUCCAUGUGUAGCGGUGGAAUGCGUAGAUAUAUGGAAGAACACCAGUGGCGAAGGCGGCUCUCUGGUCUGCAACUGACGCUGAGGCUCGAAAGCAUGGGUAGCGAACAGG
This 789-nucleotide ribosomal RNA is filed under the name uncultured Lactobacillus sp. Its description in RNAcentral is "bacterial SSU rRNA". It matches the Rfam family "Bacterial small subunit ribosomal RNA", at positions 28 to 776 of the family's 1533-position model. The record is from RNAcentral. Lineage: Bacteria; Bacillati; Bacillota; Bacilli; Lactobacillales; Lactobacillaceae.